GACGAACGCUGGCGGCGUGCCUAACACAUGCAAGUCGAACGGAAACGCCCUGCUUUUGUGGGGUUCUCGAGUGGCGAACGGGUGAGUAACACGUGAGUAACCUGCCCUUGACUUUGGGAUAACUUCAGGAAACUGGGGCUAAUCCCGUAUAGGAUCUCCUGCUGUAUGGUGGGCGUUGGAUAGUUUCGGCGGUUGGGGAUGGACUCGCGGCUUAUCAGCUUGUUGGUGGGGUAGUGGUUUACCAAGGCCUUGACGGCUAGCCGGCCUGGGAGGGGGACCGGGGACAAUGGGACUGAGAUAGGGACCAGACUGAGACGGGGGGCAGAGGGAGGAAAUAUGAAACAAGGGGCAGGAGCGUGAGGCGGAAACGCCGAGGGCGGGAUGACGGCCUGCGGGUUAUGAACCGAUUUCGCCUGUGACGAAGCGGGAGUGAAGGUAAUGGGUAAAGAAGCACCGGCUAACUACGUG
Molecule: ribosomal RNA, 468 nt
Filed under: uncultured bacterium
Lineage: Bacteria
Description: partial 16S ribosomal RNA
Rfam family: Bacterial small subunit ribosomal RNA
Source: RNAcentral